UACGUAUGGUGCAAGCGUUAUCCGGAUUUACUGGGCGUAAAGGGAGCGCAGGCGGCGCGCCAAGUCUGAUGUGAAACCCCGGGGCUCAACCCCGGGCAUGCAUUGGAAACUGGCGGGCUGGAGUGCCGGAGAGGUAAGCGGAAUUCCUAGUGUAGCGGUGAAAUGCGUAGAUAUUAGGAGGAACACCAGUGGCGAAGGCGGCUUACUGGACGGCAACUGACGCUGAGGCUCGAAAGCGUGGGGAGCGAACAGG
This 253-nucleotide ribosomal RNA is filed under the name uncultured bacterium. Its description in RNAcentral is "partial 16S ribosomal RNA". It matches the Rfam family "Bacterial small subunit ribosomal RNA", at positions 524 to 776 of the family's 1533-position model. The record is from RNAcentral.